UACGGGGGGGGGCAAGCGUUGUUCGGAAUUACUGGGCGUAAAGGGCGCGUAGGCGGUUAUGCAAGUCGGGUGUGAAAGCCCGGAGCUCAACUCCGGAAGUGCAUUCGAUACUGCGUAGCUAGAGUACUGGAGAGGAUGGUGGAACUCUCGGUGUAGAGGUGAAAUUCGUAGAUAUCGAGAAGAACACCGGUGGCGAAGGCGGCCAUCUGGACAGAUACUGACGCUGAGACGCGAAAGCGUGGGGAGCAAACAGG
RNAcentral lists this ribosomal RNA (254 nucleotides) under uncultured bacterium. RNAcentral describes it as "partial 16S ribosomal RNA". It matches the Rfam family "Bacterial small subunit ribosomal RNA", at positions 524 to 776 of the family's 1533-position model. The record is from RNAcentral.